This 487-nucleotide long non-coding RNA is filed under the name Sus scrofa (pig). Its description in RNAcentral is "lncRNA (ENSSSCG00025019928.1)". Lineage: Eukaryota; Metazoa; Chordata; Mammalia; Artiodactyla; Suidae. The record is from RNAcentral.
AUGGGGAGCACGAAGCGAGGCCUGGGGCGGGGCUUGGUCCUGGCGACGGGCUUGGAUUGGCGCGCUGCGGAUCUCCCUGCUGCCUUACAAGGCGGUGCGAGGCGAGCUAUUUUUAGAGGGCUAUAUAAGGGGGCUGAGGCUGCCGCCGGGCUGCCGGGUAACACGAGCGCGAGGGACGGGGAGGGUCGCGGCGACACUUGCGCUGGCUCCGGGGACGCCGAGGCGGCCGGGAUCGGGCUGCACGCCGGCCUCCGACCCUCGCUUUGGUGCCUAGCGGAGCCAGGGCGUUCGGAGCCGGUUCCCCUGAGAAGGGAAAGGGUCGCAUGUUGCCGUUCUGGCGUGGACGCGGCCGGUCAGGAGUCUUACUAUAGUGGAACAAAGUAUGAACUUGGGAAGCAGCCUGUUUGUAUCAGAGAAAAACAAGAAUGCCAAAGAGAUGGAGACUGGUAACAAGACUCUGAGAGACAGUUUGAACCUGGAAGAAGAU